CAUUUUGUUAAAGCGGUAUUAUGUUCUUCAAUAUGGAAACUCCAAUAAUUUCUCAAUCAAUUGAAAUCUUCUCCAAUAAUCUUCAAUCAAUCUUUAAAACCUCAUUUAAAUUUCAUAUAUCUUGCCUGUUCCAUCGUUCCAUCUCUCUGUUGAUGUAUAUUAUGUUUUCAAUUUCAAACAAUAGCUAAUGAUUCUAUGAUGAUUCCUUGACUGCCUUGCUGCUCCUCCGAAGAUCUCCAAUCUCUUCUAGGUUUGAAUCUGAGCGAUUGUGUACACAAUUAGGGUUCAUGCUAAUAAUCUGAAUUUGAUUCUGUAACAAUGUCGGGGAGUCGGCAGACUAUUUCUCUGGUCGAUUUCUUUGAUUCUACGGUUAGUAAACUACAAAAGGAAGAAGAAUCAGAGAUGUAGAGAUGUGUUGUUGAUCUACAAUAUCAGAGUAGAAUCAAAAUCCUCAUCUUCAUCUUCCGACUUGAUACAGAGCCGGUGUGGGAUCUGAGUUUGUUCUUCAUCUAGGGUUUUGAUGACGAGAGCAAUUGUGUGAUGAGCUUGCCUUGCUCUCAAGAAAUCGGGUUCCGCCGCGAGUGGAGAGACAAAUGCUUUGUUGUUGUUUAGACUCAACCAGAAGAGAAUCGUCAUUGGAGCUGUGACAGUGGCGUACGAAUGGGGAUUCAAGUCAGCGAUGGUGGUUGUAGCUUUGAGUAGAGGUUCGACUAUUCAUCAACAAGUUAUUAAAGAAUUUUCCUGGUCAUUUUGUUUUGUUUGGUGAGAUGUGCAAGUUAUAAGGUCCGAUGGAUGAUACGAAGAAGUUCCCAAAGUAAAAUUAUGAUGGGUCCAACGGGUUUGGGUCAUAAGGUUCCAACCAAACUGGUUCAGGGAUCAUUUGCCGCCUGGGAUAUGAUGUUGAUGCAAAUAUACCUCAAGGUGCCAUUACGACGUCAUAGAAGAUAAAGAUUUACAAAACGUUCGCCUCGCAGCUGAUGGCUAGAAGUAAGUUUUUUAUGAUGUUCCGAGAAGAAUUAGAGCAAAGCUAUAACAAGGAUAACCUUAUCUGGUGUUUGCUAUAACAAGAGGAAUGCAGAAAUAAAUGGCAUAAGGGUGUGCUGGGUGUACUUGGUGAAGGGGUGUGCAGUGAGUAUUCACCAUGUGGGAACACCGCCCCUUUGACCCUUCACCAUGCGGUAAAUGGAUACAAGCGGGGAAUAUUCACCGUGCAAGGGAAGAGGGGGGAUGUUGGGCCCCACUAUCUUCCAACCAUAUAUGGUUCAUUUGGCAAUUGGCAAUGAUCUUAAUACCAUAGAAGCCAAUUGGCAGGUAAACAGGCGGUUGGUUAGCUUGGCAAUGACCUAUUAAUGUGAUCGAUACAUAUUUUGCAUUUGGUUUAGCAUUGGAUAUUGAGUUUUGAAGCCGAUAAACCGAUGUGCGUUCUAUUUGGUGCAAAAACUAUGCUAGAAAGACUGAGAAAUAGAAGAUUAGCAUUUGUUGGUGAUUCAAUUGGAAGAAACCAGUGGGAAUCCCUUUUGUGUUUGUUAUCAAAUAAAUAUGUUAAAAAGAAAUAAAAUUCUAAACAUGUUUUUGAGAAAUGUUAUGGGACUUCAAUGUGAAUACUGAUUUUUAUCAAAGUAGCUUCCUUAAUAAGUUCAUCAUGUAGCUUCCUUAACAGGUGAAUCAAGUUCCCUUCUCUUUCUAUUUCAGAUGCU
This is a long non-coding RNA of Helianthus annuus (common sunflower), 1697 nucleotides long. RefSeq lists it as uncharacterized. The record is from RefSeq and is a predicted model, not a curated record. NCBI's taxonomy places the organism in Eukaryota, Viridiplantae, Streptophyta, Magnoliopsida, Asterales, Asteraceae. The transcript is spliced from 10 exons.